Molecule: ribosomal RNA, 253 nt
Filed under: uncultured bacterium
Lineage: Bacteria
Description: partial 16S ribosomal RNA
Rfam family: Bacterial small subunit ribosomal RNA
Source: RNAcentral
UACGUAGGGGGCUAGCGUUGUCCGGAUUUAUUGGGCGUAAAGAGCGUGUAGGCGGCUUGGCAAGUCUGCUGUGAAAACUCGAGGCUCAACCUCGAGCUGUCGGUGGAAACUGCUUGGCUAGAGUCCGGAAGAGGAGAGUGGAAUUCCUGGUGUAGCGGUGAAAUGCGCAGAUAUCAGGAGGAACACCGGUGGCGAAGGCGGGUCUCUGGGCAGUAACUGACGCUGAGGAGCGAAAGCGUGGGGAGCGAACAGG